This 253-nucleotide ribosomal RNA is filed under the name uncultured bacterium. RNAcentral's name for it is "partial 16S ribosomal RNA". It matches the Rfam family "Bacterial small subunit ribosomal RNA", at positions 524 to 776 of the family's 1533-position model. The record is from RNAcentral.
UACAGAGGUCCCGAGCGUUGUUCGGAUUCACUGGGCGUAAAGGGUGCGUAGGCGGUCGGAUAAGUUUGAUGUGAAAUCUCCGGGCUUAACCCGGAAACUGCAUUGAAUACUAUCCUGCUCGAGGGUUGAAGGGGGGACUGGAAUUCUCGGUGUAGCAGUGAAAUGCGUAGAUAUCGAGAGGAACACCAGUGGCGAAGGCGAGUCCCUGGACAACUCCUGACACUGAGGCACGAAAGCUAGGGGAGCAAACAGG